UUUUGGGACUCUAGAUCGUAGUUGUAUUAAGUAUAAAUGGGUUGAUUAUCUUUUGGGACUCUAGAUCGUAGUUGUAUUAAGUAUAAAUGGGUUGAUUAUUUUUGACAGUCUAGUUUUUUUACCCUCUUGAAUUUUGAAUGUACCAGCUGAAGCUAAGUAGUCUUUCUCUGAAGAGCUGAGCUGAAGCUAAGUCAUCUUCCCUAAAAACAGAAGAGCUGAAGCUGGUGAUAACUACGAUUCUCUUCUCCCUAAUACAUAUUUCGUCAAGUAAGAGGAGAAUAAGAAGGAAUUGAUUACUAUGGGGUUGUUGGAAUGGAACAAACCAAGAGUUACAGCUAAAAUUCCAAAGUACAUGAAGAAAGUGCCAAAAAUCAUGAACCAUAGGCAUAUUCAGAAGCUGAGAUAUAAGAAAUUACUACUCAGAAGCAUUUGAAUGGGGCUGCAGCUGAGCCAAAUGGUCUCGGUGUUGCAGGGGGUUCUCUAAGAGUUAUUUGCCUUGAAGGAACUCUACAAUGGACAGUGUUUUGGACGGAUGAUUAUUGGUUCGAAGGGUUUGCAGACGCUGAAGCUUUUUCGCUGUUUUGGAGAUUAGGAUAAGAUUCUGGAAUUGAUUGCUGAACAAUCGGUGAACUUGUUGAAAUUCAUCUUGAGAGGCUUCAGAUCAGUGAUACUGGUCUUGACGCUUUUUUUAAAUGUUCCAUUCUUGAAAUCCUGCACCGUAGGAUUAUAAACCAUGACUAGUGUCGAGUGUGAAUUUUUUCUAACAUUUAAUUUUCUUUUGAGUAUGUGGGAAAAUGUAUGUGAUCAAAUUUGAAUAAUGGCCCCAGGUAAACUCAAUAUAUUGGAGCUAAUGAUA
Molecule: long non-coding RNA, 856 nt
Organism: Solanum pennellii
Lineage: Eukaryota; Viridiplantae; Streptophyta; Magnoliopsida; Solanales; Solanaceae
Exons: 3
Source: RefSeq, a predicted model, not a curated record